UACGGAGGGUCCGAGCGUUAAUCGGAAUUACUGGGCGUAAAGCGCGCGUAGGCGGUUAGAUCAGUCGGGUGUGAAAGCCCCGGGCUCAACCUGGGAACUGCAUUCGAUACUGUCUGACUGGAGUAUGGGAGAGGGCAGUGGAAUUCCACGUGUAGCGGUGAAAUGCGUAGAUAUGUGGAGGAACACCAGUGGCGAAGGCGACUGCCUGGCCCAAUACUGACGCUGAGGUGCGAAAGCGUGGGGAGCGAACAGG
RNAcentral lists this ribosomal RNA (253 nucleotides) under uncultured bacterium. RNAcentral describes it as "partial 16S ribosomal RNA". It matches the Rfam family "Bacterial small subunit ribosomal RNA", at positions 524 to 776 of the family's 1533-position model. The record is from RNAcentral.